GAUUUUUGCAGAGGUCAUUCAAUCAAAAAUACAGAUUUAUUAUUCAUUAGAUAUUCUGCAAUCACUCAAAUUUAAAAUCACGCAAUACAGAGAUAAUAAUCCUGGUUACCCUACAUAUAUUUGCAGCUCAAAUUGGAUUACUAGGUGAGACUUUCAUAUAGCUCAAAACUAUUAAUAGAUGGUGGAAAUAAAAUUCUCAAAUACCUUGAUUUUGAUAUGCAGAUUACACAACGUUUCCCCAGAAUAUUCAAAAUAUGUAACAGAACCAAAACAUCAAGUGAAACCCCAAAGCUUCACCAGAUUCAGAGCUCAAAAUCCCACUUCAAAUGAACCCAGAAGCCCAAAUUCAGAAAAUAUUAGUAAAAGAGCAACAACCCAUAUUGACUUUCUUGUUGAAAGAGCCAUAUAAUCUUAAAUUUAAUUAGAGCAUAUGAUUUGGGGUUUAAUAGUGGCCGCCAUUGAUGUUAACAUCACAUACAGAAACUGCACCAAAAUGGGUGAUUGCCGUUUGUAGUCUUGUAUAAAGGAUCAGAAUAGAAAAAGCUUUGAAAUUAGGCCAACAAUGGCCGAUGAUAUCCUCCAGAUCUUCUCCAAUUUCGACGGCAGAUUACGCCAGAGCUUCCGCCGCACUCGAUUUACUCCAACAAGCGAUGUUCCGGUUGGAAGAUGAGUUUAAAUCAUUAAUGGAACGCGACGGGGAAUCGUUAGAUAUGGAUUUAGAACAACCUGGUUUGGAUUUAGAUAUGGUUUAUCUAUAUGGUUUUUACAGCUAACCUCUGUUUCUUGAGGGGAGACAGAACUUUUGGAGACUGAGUUGUGCAUAAGGAAGGGAAAGGAAGAGACUGAGUUGGGCAAAGGGGGAAUCGAU
RNAcentral lists this long non-coding RNA (868 nucleotides) under Panax ginseng (ginseng). Its description in RNAcentral is "long non-coding RNA (PGIN_LNC006306)". Lineage: Eukaryota; Viridiplantae; Streptophyta; Magnoliopsida; Apiales; Araliaceae. The record is from RNAcentral.